AGCUGUGAUAAAGCACAGAAACCAUGAAACAAGACUAUAUCUUUAGGAGCUAUUCUGUAGUAGUAUAUAAAGCUGACUAGAUCUGUGUUAUUUCACACCAUGUACAUUUUUAGAAUGGAAAAUUUAAGAAGAAAAAAACAUUCUAACUGUCCCAAUUAGUUUCUGCUGUUGAGGUGGUUUUUGUUUUUCCUUUCUAAAGAAUCAGUCUAACUGUAGUGACAACCAACAACCUAGUCUUGAUCUCAUUUUGCAAAUCAAGAUGAUCUGGCUGCUGCAGCUUCUGCUGAGUAUAGGUAAGAAAGGUACCAAGUCAGUGGCAUCUGGACUUGCUUUCCAAUGUGGAGAAUGGCUGUUGGACAUAGCUGAUUUUCUAGCUCCCGGGUUCCCCCAUGUGUGAUGGUAUCCAUUCAAACCAGAGUACCCCAAUUGCAUGUGUGGUGGCAUGUGCUUCUCUUGAGGGACCAGACUCAAGGAUGCAUGAUUUGCCUUGUGUACAUAGUGAAGAAAAUGCUUGUGGUUUUUAAUUUGGUAUCAUAGUACCUCAUCUAAUUCCAUUUCUUGAGAGUCUACCCUUUAGAGAGGAAGA
Long non-coding RNA from Erinaceus europaeus (western European hedgehog), 586 nucleotides. RefSeq lists it as uncharacterized. NCBI's taxonomy places the organism in Eukaryota, Metazoa, Chordata, Mammalia, Eulipotyphla, Erinaceidae. The record is from RefSeq and is a predicted model, not a curated record. The transcript has 2 exons.